Molecule: ribosomal RNA, 483 nt
Filed under: uncultured bacterium
Lineage: Bacteria
Description: partial 16S ribosomal RNA
Rfam family: Bacterial small subunit ribosomal RNA
Source: RNAcentral
GACGAACGCUGGCGGCGUGCUUAACACAUGCAAGUCGAACGCUGAAGCUCAGCUUUUGUUGGGUGGAUGAGUGGCGAACGGGUGAGUAACACGUGAGUAACCUGCCUCCUUCUUUGGGAUAACGCCCGGAAACGGGUGCUAAUACUGGAUAUUCACUGGUCUUCGCAUGGGGGUUGGUGGAAAGGGUUUUUCUGGUGGGGGAUGGGCUCGCGGCCUAUCAGCUUGUUGGUGGGGUGAUGGCCUACCAAGGCUUUGACGGGUAGCCGGCCUGAGAGGGUGACCGGUCACAUUGGGACUGAGAUACGGCCCAGACUCCUACGGGAGGCAGCAGUGGGGAAUAAUGCACAAUGGGCGCAAGCCUGAUGCAGCGACGCAGCGUGAGGGAUGGAGGCCUUCGGGUUGUGAACCUCUUUCGCCCAUGGUCAAGCCGCAACAAUGGUUGUGGUGAGGGUAGUGGGUAAAGAAGCGCCGGCUAACUACGUG